GCCGUGAUCAGAUAUUCAGGAUUUAUUUGAGCAAGUUGAAACUUGACCACGAGGCAUCCUUUUAUUCACAGAGGCUUGCUGCUCUAACACCUGGAUUUGCUGGAGCAGACAUUGCAAAUGUUUGUAAUGAAGCUGCUUUAAUUGCAGCAAGGAAUGAGAGCACAAUAAUUACAAUGCAACAUUUUGAGUCAGCCAUAGAUAGGGUAAUUGGUGGGCUUGAGAAGAAGAAUAAGGUCAUAAGCAAGCUAGAGAGGC
RNAcentral lists this unclassified non-coding RNA (255 nucleotides) under Hevea brasiliensis (rubber tree). Lineage: Eukaryota; Viridiplantae; Streptophyta; Magnoliopsida; Malpighiales; Euphorbiaceae. The record is from RNAcentral.